This 451-nucleotide ribosomal RNA is filed under the name uncultured bacterium. RNAcentral's name for it is "bacterial SSU rRNA". It matches the Rfam family "Bacterial small subunit ribosomal RNA", at positions 330 to 793 of the family's 1533-position model. The record is from RNAcentral.
UCCAGACUCCUACGGGAGGCAGCAGUGGGGAAUAUUGCACAAUGGGCGAAAGCCUGAUGCAGCAACGCCGCGUGAAGGAAGACGGUUUUCGGAUUGUAAACUUCUAUCAAUAGGGAAGAAAGAAAUGACGGUACCUAAAUAAGAAGCCCCGGCUAACUACGUGCCAGCAGCCGCGGUAAUACGUAGGGGGCAAGCGUUAUCCGGAAUUACUGGGUGUAAAGGGAGAGUAGGCGGCAAGGUAAGCGAUAUGUGAAAGCCUUAAGCUUAACUAAAGGAUUGCAUAACGAACUAUCUAGCUAGAGUACAGGAGAGGAAAGCGGAAUACCUAGUGUAGCGGUGAAAUGCGUAGAUAUUAGGAAGAACACCAGUGGCGAAGGCGGCUUACUGGACUGUAACUGACGUUGAGGCUCGAAAGCGUGGGGAGCAAACAGGAUUAGAUACCCCAGUAAAA